CUGGAGGUAUCAGAAGUGCGAAUGCUGACAUAAGUAACGAUAAAGCGGGUGAAAAGCCCGCUCGCCGGAAGACCAAGGGUUCCUGUCCAACGUUAAUCGGGGCAGGGUGAGUCGACCCCUAAGGCGAGGCCGAAAGGCGUAGUCGAUGGGAAACGGGUUAAUAUUCCCGUACUUGGUGUUACUGCGAAGGGGGGACGGAGAAGGCUAUGUUGGCCGGGCGACGGUUGUCCCGGUUUAAGCGUGUAGGUGUGUGUUCCAGGUAAAUCCGGUUCACUUUAACACUGAGGCGUGACGACGAGGCACUACGGUGCUGAAGCAACAAAUGCCCUGCUUCCAGGAAAAGCCUCUAAGCAUCAGGUAACAUCAAAUCGUACCCCAAACCGACACAGGUGGUCAGGUAGAGAAUACCAAGGCGCUUGAGAGAACUCGGGUGAAGGAACUAGGCAAAAUGGUGCCGUAACUUCGGGAGAAGGCACGCUGACACGUAGGUGAAGUGAUUUACUCAUGGAGCUGAAGUCAGUCGAAGAUACCAGCUGG
Molecule: ribosomal RNA, 537 nt
Filed under: Salmonella enterica
Lineage: Bacteria; Pseudomonadati; Pseudomonadota; Gammaproteobacteria; Enterobacterales; Enterobacteriaceae
Also listed under: 1 other name
Description: partial 23S ribosomal RNA
Rfam family: Bacterial large subunit ribosomal RNA
Source: RNAcentral